AUUUUCUCUGUUCCAAUUCCUUCAUUGUAAUGUUGGAGGGGCUGUGACUAGAAGAGGCCCAAAGCUGAAGAAUGGUAAAAUAUUGUUAUCUAUAACCACAGGACAGGCUAUUCACUCUUAAUAAAAUGUGCUUUUUAUUGACCAAACUUCCCUUCUCCAUCCCUGACACACUCACACACACAAGGGCACACACACAUCCACACACACAUUAAUGUCACACUUUUCUUCAUAUUCACACAUCAUGAAAACACUCCCUGACAUGACAGAUUUGAAGAUUUAAAUAAGCAAUAUUUUCCUAUUUUUUUUUUUUUUUUGCAGAUAGAGUCUUGCUCUAUCACCCAGGCUGGAGUGAAGUGGUGCAAUCUCAGCUCAAUACAACCUCUGCCUCCUGGGUUCAAGCCAUUCUCCUGCCUCAGCCUCCCUAGUAGCUGGGACUACAGUCCUGGAAAGAAAAUAUGCUUGGUCACUGGCCAGGUGAUGGCAACCGUUCACCUUGGUCUAAUUACCAAAGGAGUAAAGAAGAAGACAGAGGGGCCUGACCAUUCGGAUUCUCCCUACAGAGUUGGGAGGUAAGAUACAUUAAAAUAUAUAUAUAUAUAUACUUAGCAUAUAAAUAUUAUUAUGAGCUUAGUUUACAUUCUGCAGAACUGCAGCACUAGU
Molecule: long non-coding RNA, 660 nt
Filed under: Callithrix jacchus (white-tufted-ear marmoset)
Lineage: Eukaryota; Metazoa; Chordata; Mammalia; Primates; Cebidae
Description: lncRNA (ENSCJAG00000073366.1)
Source: RNAcentral